Long non-coding RNA from Heterocephalus glaber (naked mole-rat), 510 nucleotides. The record is from Ensembl. NCBI's taxonomy places the organism in Eukaryota, Metazoa, Chordata, Mammalia, Rodentia, Bathyergidae.
GUGGCGAAGGGCUGGGAGCCUGCUGCAGUUCCGACUGGAGAGGAGGGGCGGAACCCGGCAGCUGAUUGGUCGAGGCCAAGGAGGCGGAGCUUGGCCGGCGCCCUGACCCCAGAGCCCAAGCUUUGUUAGUUUCUACCCAAGAUUUGGCAUCAAAGCCCUGACAGAGACCCUGACGUCCACUUUCCUGGCUAUGACAUGAAAAGCUUUGCUUUGCUACACACACCUGAUGUGCUGAAUCACCUUGGGCACAAAAGCAACAGGUGCAAUGGAUAAUGGACUGAAGCUUCCAUAACUACAGAAGAACAUUGAUGUCUUGAUAUUUGCUGGGCUGGAUAAUCACUGAUUCAUAGCAGAAGGCAGGCGGAGGUACUUCUAAUAAGCACAAACAAGGAGUUGAAGCACUAAUAAUACCUGCUGCUUUAUCAACUCUAAAACAGAGGUCCUGUUGCUGGUAACAUCCAUAUGACUACAGUUCUACUGUCAACGAUUCAAAAGUACUUUCCACAUAUG